Molecule: ribosomal RNA, 1543 nt
Filed under: Marophrys nikolaevi
Lineage: Eukaryota; Centroplasthelida; Acanthocystida
Description: partial small subunit ribosomal RNA
Rfam family: Eukaryotic small subunit ribosomal RNA
Source: RNAcentral
UCCCGACACGGGGAGGUAGUGACAAUAAAUAACAAUGGUGGGGGUGUUCAUUUGCUCCNNCCAAUUGGAAUGAGAGGAUGCUAAAGCUAUNUUCGAGGAGCCAUUAGAGGGCAAGUCUGGUGCCAGCAGCCCGCGGUAAUUCCAGCUCUAAUAGCGUAUAUUAAAGUUGUUGCAGUUAAAAAGCUCGUAGUCUGAACUCUUAUGUGGGGUGCUUGGAUCGUUUGUGGGAGGCUGGACUUGAUUGUCUGCUUCCUGCCGCCCGCCUCACGCAGUCUGGGUCGAUUCAUUUCGAACCUGGAUUGUACUUCGGAGAACCGCCCUUGGAGGGGCAACUCUUCAGGGGAUCAAAGGGAUUCCGAUAGUUUACUUUGAGAAAAAUGGAGUGUUCAAAGCAGGCGGAUUCAAAUCGCUCGAUGAACAACUUAGCAUGGGAUAAUGGAAGAGGACAUUGGUUCCGAUUGUUCCCUUUGGGUUUUCGGAUUCAGGGGGGACAUCAGCCGUGUUCGCAAGCCAAUAAUGGUGUGGGACCGAUGUAAUGAUUAAUAGGAACAGUUGGGGUGAUUCAUAUUCCGUGGCUAGAGGUGAAAUUCUUGGAUUCACGGAAGAUGCACUGCUGCGAAAGCGUCUCGCCAGGAUGUUUUCGUUGAUCAAGAACGAAAGUCAGGGGAGCAAAGAUGAUUAGAAACCGUUGUAGUCCUAGACCGUAAACGAUGCCGACUCGGGAUUGGAAGGCGCUGAAUCAAGGGCGGGAAAAAGGGUGUGUUUGGGCUGUCUUCGGAUAGUUCCAAUCCGCUCCCCCGUCUUGUAUGGCCCUUCCAGCACCGCUCUUCAUUUAAAGGGAAACCAAAGUGCAUGGGUUCCGGGGGGAGUAUGGUCGCAAGGCUGAAACUUAAAGGAAUAGACGGAAGGGCACCACAACAGGCGUGGAGCAUGCGGCCCAACGCGACUCAACCCGGCGAAGCUCACCAGGCCCAGACAUGGCGAGGAUUGACAGAUUGAGAGCUCUUUCUUGAUUCCAUGAAAGGUGGCGCAUGGCCGUUCGUAGUUGGUGGAGUGAUUUGUCUGGUUGAUUCCGAUAACGAACGAGACCUUGGCGGGGAUGGCUGGGGGAGUGAAUCGUUUCAUUACGAUUCGCUUAAUUCAAACCCCUCCUGCCCGGACGUUCUGUGUUGCAGCAGACGGAAGUGCGAGGCAAUAACAGGUCUGUGAUGCCCUUAGAUGUCCUGGGCUGCACGCGUGCUACACUGACUGGUUCAACGAGUUUUAUUCGGGAGGUGGCUCUUUCGGGGGCUCCUCCUAUUCCUUGGCAGAGAUGCCUGGGUAAUCUUUUAAAUGCCAGUCGUGAUGGGGAUAGACGCUUGUAAUUAUUCGUCUUGAACGAGGAAUCCUUAGUAAGUGUUCGUCAUCAGCGAGCGCUGACUGCGUCCCUGCCCUUUGUACUCACCGCCCGUCGCUUCUACCGAUUGAAUGGUCCGGUGAGAAUGUCGGAGCGAGCGUUCUGGCAAUGCUUUCGGGUGUUGUCGCGAACUGCUUGCAAAGUCAU